GCUUCUUUCGUCUAGCGGUCAAGGACGCCGGCAAGCUCGGGGAGCCAGCCGGAAACGGAGGUUCGAGUCCUCCAAGAAGCGCCA
This 84-nucleotide transfer RNA is filed under the name Methylobacterium indicum. Its description in RNAcentral is "tRNA-Pro". It matches the Rfam family "tRNA". From Rfam's summary of the family: Transfer RNA (tRNA) molecules are approximately 80 nucleotides in length. Their secondary structure includes four short double-helical elements and three loops (D, anti-codon, and T loops). Further hydrogen bonds mediate the characteristic L-shaped molecular structure. tRNAs have two regions of fundamental functional importance: the anti-codon, which is responsible for specific mRNA codon recognition, and the 3' end, to which the tRNAs corresponding amino acid is attached (by aminoacyl-tRNA synthetases). tRNAs cope with the degeneracy of the genetic code in two manners: having more than one tRNA (with a specific anti-codon) for a particular amino acid; and 'wobble' base-pairing, i.e. permitting non-standard base-pairing at the 3rd anti-codon position. Lineage: Bacteria; Pseudomonadati; Pseudomonadota; Alphaproteobacteria; Hyphomicrobiales; Methylobacteriaceae. The record is from RNAcentral.